Molecule: transfer RNA, 71 nt
Filed under: Loxodonta africana (African savanna elephant)
Lineage: Eukaryota; Metazoa; Chordata; Mammalia; Proboscidea; Elephantidae
Rfam family: tRNA
About the family: Transfer RNA (tRNA) molecules are approximately 80 nucleotides in length.
Source: Rfam by way of RNAcentral
GCAGUGGUGGUUCAGGGGCAGAAUUCUGGCCUUCCAUGCAGGAGGCUUAAGUUCAAUUCCUGGCCAAUGCG